GAACACGGAGCUUGCUCUGUGGGAUCAGUGGCGAACGGGUGAGUAACACGUGAGCAACCUGCCCCUGACUCUGGGAUAAGCGCUGGAAACGGCGUCUAAUACUGGAUAUGUGACGUGACCGCAUGGUCUGCGUUUGGAAAGAUUUUUCGGUUGGGGAUGGGCUCGCGGCCUAUCAGCUUGUUGGUGAGGUAAUGGCUCACCAAGGCGUCGACGGGUAGCCGGCCUGAGAGGGUGACCGGCCACACUGGGACUGAGACACGGCCCAGACUCCUACGGGAGGCAGCAGUGGGGAAUAUUGCACAAUGGGCGAAAGCCUGAUGCAGCAACGCCGCGUGAGGGAUGACGGCCUUCGGGUUGUAAACCUCUUUUAGCAGGGAAGAAGCGAAAGUGACGGUACCUGCAGAAAAAGCGCCGGCUAACUACGUGCCAGCAGCCGCGGUAAUACGUAGGGCGCAAGCGUUAUCCGGAAUUAUUGGGCGUAAAGAGCUCGUAGGCGGUUUGUCGCGUCUGCUGUGAAAUCCCGAGGCUCAACCUCGGGCCUGCAGUGGGUACGGGCAGACUAGAGUGCGGUAGGGGAGAUUGGAAUUCCUGGUGUAGCGGUGGAAUGCGCAGAUAUCAGGAGGAACACCGAUGGCGAAGGCAGAUCUCUGGGCCGUAACUGACGCUGAGGAGCGAAAGGGUGGGGAGCAAACAGGCUUAGAUACCCUGGUAGUCCACCCCGUAAACGUUGGGAACUAGUUGUGGGGUCCAUUCCACGGAUUCCGUGACGCAGCUAACGCAUUAAGUUCCCCGCCUGGGGAGUACGGCCGCAAGGCUAAAACUCAAAGGAAUUGACGGGGACCCGCACAAGCGGCGGAGCAUGCGGAUUAAUUCGAUGCAACGCGAAGAACCUUACCAAGGCUUGACAUAUACGAGAACGGGCCAGAAAUGGUCAACUCUUUGGACACUCGUAAACAGGUGGUGCAUGGUUGUCGUCAGCUCGUGUCGUGAGAUGUUGGGUUAAGUCUCGCAACGAGCGCAACCCUCGUUCUAUGUUGCCAGCACGUAAUGGUGGGAACUCAUGGGAUACUGCCCG
Molecule: ribosomal RNA, 1075 nt
Filed under: uncultured Microbacterium sp.
Lineage: Bacteria; Bacillati; Actinomycetota; Actinomycetes; Micrococcales; Microbacteriaceae
Description: bacterial SSU rRNA
Rfam family: Bacterial small subunit ribosomal RNA
Source: RNAcentral